This 253-nucleotide ribosomal RNA is filed under the name uncultured bacterium. RNAcentral's name for it is "partial 16S ribosomal RNA". It matches the Rfam family "Bacterial small subunit ribosomal RNA", at positions 524 to 776 of the family's 1533-position model. The record is from RNAcentral.
UACGUAGGGCGCGAGCGUUGUCCGGAAUUAUUGGGCGUAAAGAGCUCGUAGGCGGCUUGUCGCGUCGGUUGUGAAAGCCCGGGGCUUAACUCCGGGUCUGCAGUCGAUACGGGCAGGCUAGAGUUCGGUAGGGGAGAUCGGAAUUCCUGGUGUAGCGGUGAAAUGCGCAGAUAUCAGGAGGAACACCGGUGGCGAAGGCGGGUCUCUGGGCCGAUACUGACGCUGAGGAGCGAAAGCGUGGGGAGCAAACAGG